Molecule: unclassified non-coding RNA, 857 nt
Filed under: Hevea brasiliensis (rubber tree)
Lineage: Eukaryota; Viridiplantae; Streptophyta; Magnoliopsida; Malpighiales; Euphorbiaceae
Source: RNAcentral
UGGGGCAAGUGCACUUUGCAUUGAUUUUGUUAGGAAUUGCUCCAUUUUUUAUCAACACUUCUCGACUUGGUAGAGAAGAGGAAGACGUUCAUCUAUAGAAGGAGGGUUAACAAGCUAUUCCCAACUUCCAUAAGUUAUUGCUCUAACUUUUUAUUUAAUGACUAUGAGUCACAAGUUGGAAUCUCACACCAUUAAAAUCCAAGGAACCCGCCUCAUUGAAAACACAAAUUUCAGUCUUUAGGAGUUGUUUUUGCAAAAAACAGAUGUCAAAUCUAAAUUAGCACGUUGAAAUAGCAAACAAGAGUUCUGUUCCACUGACGUGUCAGUUGGUAUGGCGCAUAAUGUUAACAUGGCCAGUGGUGUGGCACAUGUUACUGGGCUGCUGCGUAAUAUGGUUGUUGACUUGACGAAGUAGGAGUGAAAUCUGAUGCGGACAAGAGCAGUAGAGAACAAGUGAGCUGUAUUGUGUUCUGCAGGUUACGAAGUAGAUUUGACCUGAUCUAGUUGGGCCAUGGUGCAGGCAUGUCAGAACUCCAUUUUGACGACUUGGGCAAGGUUGUCAGCAUGCAGUGAUGCUCUAUGAAGUGUUGCAACACUAGAAAAUGGCUGGAUAUGAUGGGUUUUAGUUGAGUUGCUUAUUCGGGUCAGAAAUCAACUCAAACAAAUCUCUUCUUUAGGGAAGCUUUUGGUGGUCAGAGUUGUAUCGUUGGAGUCACCUCUUUUUCGCAAUGAACCCAGUAAUAUUGGGCUCUAUAUGAGAGACUUAAUAAUGAGGAUGUGAUGGGUUUUUGGCUUUUUGUUCUUUUUGUAUUUUUAAGCUAAGGAAAAUUUCUAAGGCAAAAGCACAAGUUAGAUGU